CUUCUAUAAUAUUCUACACUAUUCUAUAAUUUUCCAAAAGUUACACUUUAAUUUUAACAGUAUCCUCAUGUCUUGCAUCUUAUGCAGGUGAUCAUUGGUGGCGGCGGGGGUGGUGGCUUCAUCGGAGGCAGUGCUGCAGCAGCAGCUGCAGCUGAGGAGAAGAAAGAAAAUUGAUGACGACUUGGGAUUCUCACUUUUUGACUAGAUUGGCAUUAUAUAGUAGUACAAUUUUCAGUAGCUCUGCAUCUGAAUGUCUGGUGUUGAACUCUAAAUAGACUCUUAAAACUCAGAAAUCUAUUAGAAUGCCGACUGACUAGAAAGCUAGCUAUAUUUAUUCUCUAAAUCGACUAAAAUCGUAUUAGGCCGAUGAAGAAUAGGACAGAUUGGUCUUACUAGGGACUAUAUGUACCAACAUCCGCUUUUUAUUAUAUGACCAAUAUAUGCUUUUAUACGUUUAUUAUAUGGUCAAGAUGUAGAACCAAGCUUCUGGCUUUGAUGAAAUAGAUAUAUCUUUUCCAUUUCAUAUUUUA
This 530-nucleotide long non-coding RNA is filed under the name Nicotiana benthamiana. Its description in RNAcentral is "long non-coding RNA (NBEN_LNC038979)". Lineage: Eukaryota; Viridiplantae; Streptophyta; Magnoliopsida; Solanales; Solanaceae. The record is from RNAcentral.